UAAGGAAUAUUGGACAAUGGGGGCAACCCUGAUCCAGCCAUGCCGCGUGAAGGAUGAAGGCGCUAUGCGUUGUAAACUUCUUUUGUACGGGAAUAAACCCUUCUACGUGUAGAAGGCUGAAUGUACCGUAAGAAUAAGGGUCGGCUAACUUCGUGCCAGCAGCCGCGGUAAGACGAAGGACCCGAGCGUUAUCCGGAUUUAUUGGGUUUAAAGGGUGCGUAGGCGGCUUGAUAAGUCAGUGGUGAAAGCCUGCAGCUUAACUGCGGAAUUGCCAUUGAUACUGUCGAGCUUGAAUAUGGUUGAAGUGGGCGGAAUAUGACAUGUAGCGGUGAAAUGCUUAGAUAUGUCAUAGAACACCGAUUGCGAAGGCAGCUCACUAAGCCAUCAUUGACGCUGAGGCACGAAAGCGUGGGGAUCAAACAGG
RNAcentral lists this ribosomal RNA (424 nucleotides) under uncultured bacterium. Its description in RNAcentral is "bacterial SSU rRNA". It matches the Rfam family "Bacterial small subunit ribosomal RNA", at positions 355 to 776 of the family's 1533-position model. The record is from RNAcentral.